RNAcentral lists this long non-coding RNA (3430 nucleotides) under Homo sapiens (human). Its description in RNAcentral is "PREDICTED lncRNA (TCONS_00110751)". The record is from RNAcentral. Lineage: Eukaryota; Metazoa; Chordata; Mammalia; Primates; Hominidae.
UCCCAGUGGACCCCUCAAUUCGGAACUUUCCAACUCAACCGGAGCGAGGGUCAGAAAGAUUGUUCUUCACCCCUCUUCCUCCCUAGCUCUGAAUUCUUCCUCUUCUCCUAGAGUUGGGGCAGAAAGGACCGAAUCUUUUCUGCUUCUAGGGUCUAUCCCAGCAACAACAUACUCAUUCCCCUACACAGAUACGGGUGAAAACCUCAAUCAAAUCAUUUUCUUCUAGCAGAAAAAAAGGCGUUUCCCCAACCAGCUUCCAAAAUCAGCCAUAGGGAGAGAAAGAGAGAGAGAGACAGAAAAAAAAAAAGACGCUGUUAGCGGCCAGGCCUGAACCCCAGUGGGAUAUUCUACUUCCCCAUCCCAGGAAUGGAGGGGGACUCCAGCGAAAUUACAGGGAAUUCGUGGUCACGGGACCGGCCUCCGCCAAUCGCUCGUCUGGGCCUGGUGGAAAACAGAGAGCAUUAUUUGGUUUAAUUGAUUCAAAAACACCAGAGGACCACGACCAGGACACCAUGAGCCCCCAUUCCUACACCAGUGCCUCACAUGCUCUCUCCCCAAUGCCUCCGUUUCUCCAGAAAAGCUAGAGGAACCUUUUCCUCAUCCCCUUCGAAGGAAAAGAUGAGUGAGGAUCUCCGCGUUGGAGGAAGAGGGAGUCGAAAGAGGCUUCCACUCUUUGAAAAAGGUCAGUAUUAAGGUGAAAAUAAGAAAGAGAUUUACAAUCAUCACACCACUAUCCCUGUUACCCUCCAAAAACAACAGUUAAAUCUUGGGAAAUGGACAGGAACUCCCAGGCAGACACAUAGGAGUGAGAUGGAGCAUAAGGGGCAUUUUUGGGCCUCUGGCCUCCAUCGCUGUAUGGUCUGGGUUCUCUUCUCUGCCCAGUGUUUGCAGCACUGCCUCUGCCCCUUAUGUACCCCUGCUUUCCUCACUUUCAGGCUUCCAUGCUUCUCUGUGACAUCCCCCAAAAACAGGCAGAGUCUAAGAUGUGCAUGUACCCACUCAAGCCUCAAGCUUGUAUCUGUAUCCAUAUCCAGGGACAUGAACAAGAACUGAGGUAGCCAUUGGUUUAACUUAGAGCACUCUCAAAGUUCAGAUCAGCGUUAUGUGUGUGCAUGAGUGUGGUGGGGAGAUUUUCCCCUAGGACAAAGAGACUUUCCCUCCCAUUUUUGCCAUUGUGCUAGUUAAAAAAGAAAAAAGAAAAAAAAAAAAAAAAGAAUCCCUGACAAGGAAGAAUUCCCUGAAGAUGGUAGGGGUGGAAAUAAUGACCACUGAGAUGAUAUUCCAUUUCUGGCUGCUGGGGGAAAAUGUUUUUAAAAUUUAUUUUAUUUUGAGGAGACCAAGAUAGUCUGAAGUUUAGAGUGUUGUAAUUUACUAUGGGGAGAGGGCACAAGACUCUGAGCCCCAAGCAAUUGGUGGGAAACUAGGCCUCAAAGCAGAAAAUGAAAAGUCGAUCUGGGGGAAGAUUUUUAAAUAAGUGGGUCAGACGGAUGGAGAGGAGAUGAGGCGAUCAAUCUUAGCCCCCUGACAGCUCCCUCCGAUUGCAUCAAAGAAUUUGGCUCUUUGGGAAAGCAGAGCGAACAGCCAAAAUUUCACAUCCCUUAAAAAGGCCUGGGGGUGGGGGUGGGGGUGCAAAAGAGAAGGGUGAUUCUGGGAGAGCUGGGAAACAGAUGGGAAAUGGGGACAGAGGGAAAGCGCUAAGUUGGGUGGAAAGUUUGCCUGGAGAACUCCCAUGGCUUUGGCCUCCCCUCCCCCUCCUCUCUCUCUGCUGCCCAGCCAGGAGGAGAAGGCUGGUUAGCAGAGAAAUGGCAACUGAGCCCGGAGCUGGAACUAGAAACUUUCUGUCAGUGUAACAUCUGCGUGAGUACUUAAAAAGAAGGACAGAGAAGUCUGAGUAGAAGCAUGAGGGUGGGGGAGAGGAGGAUGGAGAAAGGGGAGUUGGAGGUGGGGGCUGCAGGGACCGAGGAGGCAUGCUCUGGAGGGCUCAGAACAGAGAGAGCUGCUCUGACCUGGGCAAAGUGGCCAGCGACAGUAGUGUGCAACUAGGCUCCAAAGAAAACAAUUUUUGCCAUUUAGAGGUGUGGAUGGGGGUGGGCAUAGAAUAAUCCAAAUAGUAGCUGUCUGGAAGUCAUGCAGGGAGGCCUGAGAGUGGGUUCUCCCUCUGGCCACCCCCUUGAACACCUCUGAAAGUUUAGCAACAGCUUCUGUAGCUGGCUGAAGGAUCCAGAGCUUAUCUCAGGCAACUCGGGCAGACUGUCCCUGCAGGAAAUACAGCUCUCUCUAACCCUCACUGACAGAUUUUAUGGCCAGAUUAGCAAACAGCGGAAAACUUGGGUGUUAAAAGGGGCCCAGAGAACCCUCCUUUUCAGAGACAUCCCUCCCCCGCCCCCCUGUCCUGCUGUGAAUUUAACAGCACGGAUAUUUUACCCACGUCUUUGGCUGCUUUAGCUGAGCGCCUGGAAUCUUCCAAAGAGAAGGAUAGGGAACACCAAGCCAAGUUGGUUCUUAUUUUUCUUGUUUGCAAUUCCAGCUUCGAGCCAAAGCUCUGUUUUUCAAACUUAAGCUAAAUUCUCUUUCUUGGCCUCUUUCCUGCUAGAUAAAUAACAACCCAACCCAGCCCCAGAGCCAAACAUGGUGCUUCAUCUAGUUAUAUCAUUCAGAAAAUGUUAUUCAAGGAAGAAGAGAGAAAGAGAAAGAAAGAAAAACCCUUGAGCGUUAUUUGAUCCCAAUCAAACUUUGCACGCUCUUAUGCCUUUAAAUUAUAGCCUGACCCAAUGCUAAAUUGCUUGCUGCUUGGAUGAGUCCAGUUAAAAUCCUACUUGGUGGUGGGGAAGGGGGAGGGCGUAGAGUUCAGGUUGCUUUUUUAUUGUUAUUUAUUGUUGCAUAAAGACUAUAAUUACUAACCUUGGACUGCCAGGAUGCAACAUAAAAAUGAAAAUCAGCCCUCUCUUUAAGGCAGGGCCUGGAACGAUUCUCACUCCCCCAACAUCACUACCACCAAAUAUAUGCUCCUAAUUAAGCAAUGCGGGCACAUCGCUUACAAUUAGAAUUAUGCAGCUCUUCAGCAAGCAGCCAUCGCUUCUCUUUCAACGAAUUAGCUCCAUAUUUCAGCCGCCCUGUCUUCUCGCUCUUAUCGGCUCCAGCGACUCGGCGGUGACAUUUCAUCUUUGACAGACCUUCUCUAUUUUCACUCCAAUGUGAUAAAACUUUUAUGGAACCACAACUAAGAAAUGAAGUUUUCCCAAGGAUGAUGGAAACAGAGCCGCACAUUAGCCUGGGGACCGUUUUAUUUACGCUUGGAUCCAACAGCUUCUCCCACCCUCCUCUCCCCUUUCUCUGGCAGGGGAAAUCGAACGUGCUUCCCCUCCCUCCGCCUCGAGUUUUAUUUAGUGAUUUAAUUUUACUUAGUUUUAAAGUUUGACCUGAGAAGUCU